CCCCUACCGGCCGCCUCCUCGCGCCUCCACCUCCCCUGCUACCGCCGCCGCUUUACUCCCGAUGGGCGAACCACGCCCACCUCGACCGCCGGCCUCUCGCGCCCUCCGUCGCCUCCCACCUCCACCGCUGCUGCUUCUCUCCGGAUCCACUCUCCGCACCCGCCGCCCCACUCUGCCCUCGCAUCCUCGUCACCGCGCGGCUAACCCUCCGGCCUCCACACCUCUCCCUCUCUUUCUCCUCAGAUCUGCGAGCUGCUCCCUCUCGCUCGUCGAGGGCCGCGGCCACCGUCUCCCUUGACCUCGUCGCCGCCGCGACGGCCCUCUCGCGCGGCAGCCGUCUGGGCACAUGGAGGAAGGCCGGGCGAGCUCCAAGCCUCGACCCCGGAAGAUAUACAAUGUAUAGUGGCCGCUGCCAGUGCGGACUCGGGCCCCCUCCUCGCCGCGCCUCCCCGCCGGGGGGCUCAUCCAAUUGCUCCUCUCCUGCGGAGCGGUUGAGGUCCGCAGACUCAUCCACCAGCGGCUGCUGCAUCCGACUCAACAAAUAGCGAUUCAGCAGUUUACCUCACGCCAUAAUUGUUGCCUGUAAAGUGCUCGACAGAAUGCUCCAGUGGUGACAUGAUGUUUGGAUCUCUGUUGGCAAAGGAGCAAUUCUUUGGUAAAGUUGAAGCUGGGUUAGCAUAUUCGCUCACUGCUGCUACUUCGCCUACAAUUUCACACAUUUGAGUUCUUCCUCUCUUGCCCCUAACUGUGAAUUGGUCUUGUAAAUUGCAUUGAGACUAUAGCCUUCUAUUUUUCAGAUUUCUACAGGUUUUGUUUGUACUGCAGCUGUGUUAGUAUUGACGCCCUCCUGUGCAUUGAUUGAUUGGAUGAGAUAUUGUUGUAUGUCUUUCAGGAUUAUUGCUUCUGAAUGAGCGUGGGAAAAAGGGAGAGCUGUGGACAGAGGUGUUGUCAUAGGAGCUCGCAUGGAAUUCUCUCAGCUGUGAGCCCCCUGGAACUUAAAUGUGCAUCUCAGACUUGACUGGUGGUUUGUGUUUUCUUCUGCAUCUCUAGUCUCAGCCGGUGGCAGUAGGCGCAUGCACCGAAUGGCUCUCUUGUUGGCGUUGAGUCAGACCUCUAGGUGAUUUAAAGGGUUAAAGAACUGGCGGUUAGAAUAGAAGCCUCACAGAGAAGAAAUCAUUGUAGCCAAAUGUGCUGCCACAACACUCAUCAAAACUGAUACGUGUUGAAAAAGAAUUCUUUGCUUAGUUACUGCUGCUGGUUCAUACUCUUGGUGAAAACUAUCUUUUAUUUUUUUUCUGGUUCAUUUUGUUGUCUUUGGUCCUGCAAUGUUAGAUUGCUAGUUCUGAUUCAUGGAAAACACUAUGUGAUCCAUUAUUCUGGUGUCAUGAUGUUUGAUGCAAAUAUUAUUGAUAUGAGGUUAUAAUUUGGGCUGUAAUUGCUUAUUGUGA
Panicum virgatum (switchgrass) is the source of this 1448-nucleotide long non-coding RNA. RefSeq lists it as uncharacterized. Lineage: Eukaryota; Viridiplantae; Streptophyta; Magnoliopsida; Poales; Poaceae. The record is from RefSeq and is a predicted model, not a curated record. The transcript has 4 exons.